GUUCCAAUGAGAAUGAAGGCUGAGGUGUGCGCCUUUUUUUUUUUUCCUUCUUAGUCGUGUGUACAUCAUUGGGAAUGGAGGGAAAUAAAUGACUGGAUGGUCGCUGCUUUUUAAGUUUCAAAUUGACAUUCCAGACAAGCGGUGCCUGAGCCCGUGCCUGUCUUCAGAUCUUCACAGCACAGUUCCUGGGAAGGUGGAGCCACCAGCCUCUCCCUGACAAGCAAAGUGGAUCAGCAAAGGCUGCAGUCACCAGCAUCUUUUCCAACCUUAAUGAACUGUAUCCUCAAAAGAACACUAUCAGACUGGCUCUGCCGACUUCCAGUUCUGGAACAAGAUGGUUAAACUCAUUUUUCCCUGCUCUGCUCCUCUAAAUACAACUAAGUACCUUGGAAACUAUUCAGCAGACAAUGAUAAAGGGCUCUGAAAGCUAGAAGAAAAGGUGUACUUGCAAGAAACCUCAGGACUUGAGUAACAGCAACAUGGCAGGCCAGAAAGCAGACCCAGGGAGGAUAGCACAUGUCUUCGGCUACACUGGUGAAGGCAUCGUGCCUGCUCCACAGCACAUUUUUAUUCAAGGUUCUUCUGAGCUAUGAAGGGGCCCAGAUUUAAGGGCUAUUUUUGACACCCUAAAUGUGCUGAGACAAGUCAUUAAGGUGGUCCUGCCAGGACACAGCCAUCUAAAGCAGCAAUCUGCUUCUUGCCAGAAAAUCUCGUGCCUCUGCAGAGCCUUUUCCAGAAUGAACCACACCAUGCUGAGGAAAGGAGAAAGAGACUACCUACUGCAUUUCUGUCACUCGCUGAAAAGGACACUCUGUCAGAAAAUCUUCUAGCAAACUUCAAAGGGCAAAAUCACCCCUUGUUACUGAUAAAGCCCAGAGAGCUUCAGCAGCUAACAUUCCCUGGACAGGGCACAGCAAGGAUUUGAACCUAGGUCAGUCUGGCCAGAACACCCACAAGCUUUCCUUAACUCAGUGUGCUAUCUCCCCACGACUAGGUCACUACUGCUUUAUAAUCACCUUUGUAGCCACCAGUGGAUUUUGCUCAUCAGUAUUUUUCAGGCAAUUGAUACUUUAGAUAUUCAGCUGCAAGACGUAUGCAGUUUUCAUUGACAUCUUUUGGAGAAACUGACAAACCUGGACUUGACUUAAUGCCUUUGGAACCUUCCAAGAUGUUAUAUAACUCUAGAUAGAAGGCUGGGCCUCCAUGAUGUCAGGAAUGUUGCAUUCUUAUUUCCCCAUAGAUAAACCCAUUUGUCCACAAAGUCAAGGAGUCAGGCAGAGGCCCUUGCCAUGGGGCUUUUUAGGAUAAAGCAACAAGCCUGGACUUUGCUCUACAACAGGGUUUUGCAUAGGGAGUGGUAUGACCAGAUCCCUCAAGAAAGAAAGCUUAGAGACCAGGCCAGAGUCCACUGCAGUAGCCCAGUCAAGAGAGGAUGGUGACUUGGACUUGUAGUAGAGCCAGUUAGAAUGAAAGAAAUUGACACAUUCAGAAAUGGUUUUAGAGAUAGAGUCAAACUGGACCUGAUAAAGAACUAGAGAAGCGGAGUGAGGAUAAAGAGAAGAGCCAUGACUGACUCGGAAGAUUUUGUCUUGAAAAACUUGAGAACUCAAGACAGAGUGAAAUAAAAUCACAUGUGGGAAAAAUCUCCUGCUUUGUUUUGGACUACUUUGAAGUGAAAUGCCUGUUAAGCCUAAGUGGGGUAGGUCAUGGCGUACAUGACUGUGGGCUCAGGAUGGAUACAGGCAUUCAGGAGUUGUGAGCAAAUAGAACUUAAAGCCAUGAGAGAAGAAGGGAUCACCAAGAGAGACAGUGUGGCAUAGAGAAGAAAAGGGGUGGAAGACGAUCCCUGGGCAGAAAAGUCCUUAGAGCAGAGGCAACAGGCAUGACCAAGAAGACUAAGAAAGAACAUUCAGUACAGCAGGAGGAGAGCAAAAAAUGUGUGGUAUUCUAGAAGCAAAGAGAAUAAAGGGCUUCAGGAAGGAGCAGUCAAGUGUGUCAAAUAAGAUAAAGACAGACAAGUCCCCUGGAUUGGGUAGGAAUAAAAUAACAACAGACUGCCAUACAAAUGGUUCUAUCUACACCAUCUAAAAGAAUAUAGUUUAUUCUCCAUACAUUUAAGAAACACCUGCCAUAUGCCAGGUAUCCUUUCAAGCACUGAAAUGCAGAUUCAUAAAACAUGGUCUCUGCUCUCAAGGAGCUCACAGUGGUAAGGAGGAAACAGGCAAUAGCGAGUGUUCUCAUUGCAUUCGUGACCCCAUUGAUCUUGCAACAGCCCCAUGCAUCAGUUAUUGCCAUUAUACCAUUUUACCGAUAAGGAAACUGUGGCAGGGAGGGGUCAAGCACCUUGGGUAUUUGACAGCAAAACCAAGGCUUGGUGGUAUCAUAAAACUUCCAAGUAGUAAUUCACAAAGGUGACUGGGAAAUGGAAGUGACCAGAAAUCUUUGCACUAUGAGGACAAGUUCAUGACCCUGAUACAUUCUUGUCCAGGUAGUAUAGCUCCAGACCAAAUGUCUGCGGCCACCCACCCAAAAACUUGUUGGAUAAAAAUGACUACACCUAUAGUCAAAUGAUUUUUGACAAAGGUGCCAAACAGUUAGAUAGGAAAAAGAAAGUUAUUUUCAAUAAAUGUUGCUGGAGCAACCAGAUAUCCAUAUGGAAAAAAAAUCUUGACCACCUACCUCACACCAAACACUAAUAUUAACUUGAGAUGGAUCAUAAACCUAAGUCUGAAAACUAAUAGUAAAGUUCUUGAGAAGAGAACAUGGGAGAAUGUCUUCAUGAUGUUCAGGUAGGCAAAGAUAUUUUAAGACACAAAAAAGCAAUAAGCAUAAAAUUUGUAAAGAGGUGACUGGGGCUUUAUCAAAAUUAAAAUUUAUGUGUAUUAAAAGACAUCAUGAAUAAAGGGAAAAGGGCAGCCACAGACUGGGAGAAACUCUUUACUAUACAUAUACCUAACUGAGGCUCAUAUCCAGAUUAUAUGAAGAACUCCUUCAUACUGAUACCUAGGGUCUUGAUUGCAUGCCCCGAAAUCAGUUGAUUCUUCCCUUUUGAAAUGCAUUCCCACAAGGAUCCAGCCUUUGGGAAGCCAUGCAAGUAGAGGCAGAAGUUGUUUCAGCUUCGGAAAGGGCCACUCUGCUGAGGAGUGUCCUUGACCGGCAGAGAGAAGAUGUUCCUGCAGCCAUGCUGAUUCCAGGGGGAUAUAGAAUUUGGGGCCUGGGAAUGUUUAAAAAUGAAAGCCAGUUAAUAGUUUUAUUUUUCUUUUAACAUGACAGACAGGAGAACAACCAGCAGGACUCCAGGCUUACCCUGACAUUUUUGUCAAGUAUAUGCGGGUUCUCCAGAGAGCCAGAAUCAAAAGAUGUGUGUAUAUACAGCCAUGUGUUGCAUAACAACAAAGAUACAUUCUGUGAAAUGUGUCCUUAGGCAAUUUCAUCGUUGUGCAAACAUCAUAGGGUGUAUUUGCACACACCUAGAUGGCAUAGCCUACCACACACCUGGACUAUGUGGUAUAGCUUGUCACUCCUAGGCUUUGUACAGCAUGCUACUAUACUGAAUACUGUAGGCAAUUAUAACACAAUGGUAGGUAUAUAUGUCUAUGUAGACAUAUCUAACAUAGAAAAGGUACAGUAACAAUACAGUAUAAAAAGUGAAAAUUGCACACUUAUAUAGGGCACUUCCAAUCAAUGGAGCUUGUAGAACUGGAAGUUGCUCUGGGCGAGUCCGUGAGCAACUAAGACAUUACACUGUGCG
Molecule: long non-coding RNA, 3751 nt
Filed under: Homo sapiens (human)
Lineage: Eukaryota; Metazoa; Chordata; Mammalia; Primates; Hominidae
Description: PREDICTED lncRNA (TCONS_00160888)
Source: RNAcentral